Molecule: long non-coding RNA, 335 nt
Filed under: Elaeis guineensis (African oil palm)
Lineage: Eukaryota; Viridiplantae; Streptophyta; Magnoliopsida; Arecales; Arecaceae
Description: long non-coding RNA (EGUI_LNC015133)
Source: RNAcentral
UAUCGUUCGCACGAAAGAGUGAUUGAUCUUUUUUCACAUCAUCAAUCAUUAGACCGUAUUCUACAAAAAUUUUGAUUUUAAAGUACUCCAAAUUUUUUUAUUCAUUAAAUAGAUUUUGAAAUAACUAUUGCACGAUCUAGUGAUGGAUUCAUACAAAAAGAGAUGAAUCCUUUUUUCAUGGCAAAGAUAAAAUCUCUGUAUGUCUCUCAUAAUCUUAUAUGUUUGACUACUGCUCAUCUAUCAACUAAACGUGCAAUUACCCUGCUCCACUUCUUCAGUCCUAUAUUUUCUCCUUCCGUCUCUCUAGAUCUCUUUGCCAGAGACUAUGUACUAAC